This 458-nucleotide ribosomal RNA is filed under the name uncultured Desulfovibrio sp. RNAcentral's name for it is "bacterial SSU rRNA". It matches the Rfam family "Bacterial small subunit ribosomal RNA", at positions 927 to 1382 of the family's 1533-position model. Lineage: Bacteria; Pseudomonadati; Thermodesulfobacteriota; Desulfovibrionia; Desulfovibrionales; Desulfovibrionaceae. The record is from RNAcentral.
AAGCGGUGGAGUAUGUGGUUUAAUUCGACGCAACGCGCUGAACCUUACCUAGGCUUGACAUCCGGGAAUUUGCUGGAAACAGUGAAGUGCUUUCAUUAGAAAGAGCCCGGUGACAGGUGCUGCAUGGCUGUCGUCGGCUCGUGUCGUGAGAUGUUGGGUUAAGUCCCGCAACGAGCGCAACCCUCGCCUUUAGUUGCCAGCAUUCAGUUGGGCACUCUAAAGGGACUGCCGGUGUCAAACCGGAGGAAGGUGGGAUGACGUCAAGUCCUCAUGGCCUUUAUGUCUAGGGCUACACACGUACUACAAUGGCAGGUACAAAGGGCAGCGACACAGCGAUGUGAUGCGAAUCCCGAAAAGCCUGUCUCAGUCCGGAUCGGAGUCUGCAACUCGACUCCGUGAAGUUGGAAUCGCUAGUAAUCGUGGAUCAGCAUGCCACGGUGAAUACGUUCCCGGGCCUU